CCAUGGAUCCAAAGGAACUCAGCAUAUAAUUAAAUCAAGACGUGCAUGUGUGAUGGAGUAAAUGAUAGUGAUGGUGAAAAUGCAUAAGUGAUAAUAAAAUUUACUUCUCAUUGCUCCUCAUAUUGCUAUCUCUCCUCUUCUUUGAUCUUUGCUUUGGGAGAACAUGGGCUAUCUUUUUUUCUCUCUUCUUCUUUUUUUUCAGGUGGGUAGUAGAUACCCCUAAUUCUACUGUCGGACACUUGUCCAUUUUUUCCGCUCAAGUGGGCAUCUUUGUACCCCUAAUUCUACUUCGGACACUUGUCCAUUUUUACCUCUCGUCUCACUUUCUUUUCUUUUUCGAGGUUCCGGGCACUUGCCCCUUUUUUAUUUCCUCGUAUAUUUUUGCAUAACCCAUGCCUCUUCUGCAUUGAAUCUUUUUAGAGAGAGAGAAUAACAAUAUUUAGGACAGUGAGUGAUAAUAUAUUUUUAGCAAUUUUAAUGAUUGAUGAUGAAUGCUGUGGUAGAUGUGUGCAAGUGAAUAUCUUAAUUUGACCACAUGAAAAGCUCCUAAGGGUCUACACAGCUCGAUCAAACUCAAUGUGAAUAUAGUGAAAGAUGUUAUAGCAAGUAUGGCUGUGGUAGGUAAUUUUGUUAUGCUAGGAACUCAUCAUGUGAUUUGUAUGUUUUCAAAAUAAAUCUCCAGAACUUAGUGUAGUAGGAACAAGAUAAACAAACAGUAGCUCAACGUUAUAUCAUGCCUUUCUCUUACCUAGACUUUAGUGUUAUGCUUCCCAAAGAUAGUAAUUUUAGUUUUAGUAAUUCCUGGAAGAACUCUAAUAUAAAAGCUAGGUACUUGUAAGUAAGCAAACAGAGCAACUGUUCAUCAUUUCCAUCAUGCAUAUUUUUGGUCUUUUUUAUUUUUUUCUAGAGAUUAAACUUAGCAGAAAAAUAAAACACACUUAUCUACACACUCUUUUUUAUUUUGUUUUCGUGUUUAUAAAGUGCAGUAAAUUAAAGCAAGAAAAUAUUUAUUUAGUUUUCUAAAUUUUCCUUUUAAGGUAAAUCAAAUACUAGAAUAAAAAAGAAUAAAUAAGA
Molecule: long non-coding RNA, 1074 nt
Filed under: Sorghum bicolor (sorghum)
Lineage: Eukaryota; Viridiplantae; Streptophyta; Magnoliopsida; Poales; Poaceae
Description: long non-coding RNA (SBIC_LNC017898)
Source: RNAcentral